GUAGGUGCAAGCGUUGUCCGGAAUUAUUGGGCGUAAAGCGCGCGCAGGCGGUUCUUUAAGUCUGAUGUGAAAGCCCACGGGCUCAACCGUGGAGGGUCAUUGGAAACUGGAGAACUUGAGUACAGAAGAGGAAAGCGGAAUUCCACGUGUAGCGGUGAAAUGCGUAGAGAUGUGGAGGAACACCAGUGGCGAAGGCGGCUUUCUGGUCUGUAACUGACGCUGAGGCGCGAAAGCGUGGGGAGCAAACAGGAUUAGAUACCCUGGUAGUCCACGCCGUAAACGAUGAGUGCUAAGUGGUUAGGGGGUUUCCGCCCCUUAGUGCUGCAGCUAACGCAUUAAGCACUCCGCCUGGGGAGUACGGCCGCAAAGGCUG
RNAcentral lists this ribosomal RNA (373 nucleotides) under uncultured organism. Its description in RNAcentral is "partial 16S ribosomal RNA". It matches the Rfam family "Bacterial small subunit ribosomal RNA", at positions 528 to 896 of the family's 1533-position model. The record is from RNAcentral.